AGGUAUGGUUUGCACCAAUUCAAGAGACUGUGCAUUAGGCAUUCAAUAUAUAAGACUGGAGUGAGACUGAUUAGGCAUUUAAAUGUAUUGCAGGAUGUUGUUUGAAUUACUUGUCCUAAUAGGUGCACAAGUUGGGAUGGAUUGGACUUCUAUCUUGAGAAAACGCCAUGAUUUCAGGGCUGCUUUCGUCAGGUUUGAUGCAGAAAUCGUUGCCAACUUCACAGAAAGACAAAUAGCAUCAAUGGCCACAGAUUGCAACUUGGAUUUAAACAAGGUUCGAGGUACCGUCAACAAUACUAACAAAAUCCUCCAGGUCAGAUUGUUGAUUGGACCUGAUUUUAUUUAAAUGAUCUUGAUAAUCCAUUUUAUUUAAAUGAGCAGACCCGGAUGUGCGUCGGAGCUAUCCGGAUGUUGAGCGGGGGUCCCUAGAAGGUGGGAACCGCUGUUAUGACCA
Magnolia sinica is the source of this 454-nucleotide long non-coding RNA. RefSeq lists it as uncharacterized. The transcript has 2 exons. The record is from RefSeq and is a predicted model, not a curated record. Lineage: Eukaryota; Viridiplantae; Streptophyta; Magnoliopsida; Magnoliales; Magnoliaceae.